RNAcentral lists this ribosomal RNA (301 nucleotides) under uncultured bacterium. RNAcentral describes it as "partial 16S ribosomal RNA". It matches the Rfam family "Bacterial small subunit ribosomal RNA", at positions 509 to 807 of the family's 1533-position model. The record is from RNAcentral.
CAGUAGCCGCGGUAAAACGGAGGGUGCGAGCGUUAAUCGGAAUUACUGGGCGUAAAGCGUGCGCAGGCGGUUCGUUAAGACAGAUGUGAAAUCCCCGGGCUUAACCUGGGAACUGCAUUUGUGACUGGCGAGCUAGAGUAUGGCAGAGGGGGGUAGAAUUCCACGUGUAGCAGUGAAAUGCGUAGAGAUGUGGAGGAACAUCAGUGGCGAAGGCGGCCAUCUGGGACAACACUGACGCUGAGGCACGAAAGCGUGGGGAGCAAACAGGAUUAGAUACCCCCGUAGUCCCUGUCUCUUAUAC